Molecule: ribosomal RNA, 349 nt
Filed under: uncultured bacterium
Lineage: Bacteria
Description: bacterial SSU rRNA
Rfam family: Bacterial small subunit ribosomal RNA
Source: RNAcentral
AGAGUUUGAUCCUGGCUCAGGAUGAACGCUAGCUACAGGCUUAACACAUGCAAGUCGAGGGGAAACGACAUCGAAAGCUUGCUUUUGAUGGGCGUCGACCGGCGCACGGGUGAGUAACGCGUAUCCAACCUGCCCACCACUUGGGGAUAACCUUGCGAAAGUAAGACUAAUACCCAAUGACGUCUCUAGAAGACAUCUGAAAGAGAUUAAAGAUUUAUCGGUGAUGGAUGGGGAUGCGUCUGAUUAGCUUGUUGGCGGGGUAACGCCCACAGGCGACGAUCAGUAGGGGUUCUGAGAGGACGGUCCCCCANAUUGGAACUGAGACACGGUCCAAACUCCUACGGGAGCA